GAAUGUCCACACAUCCCUGGAGCUCACGUCCUCAGGUCCCUCUGGUCCUGGGUGCCUCCUUGAGGGCCUCUCUGCCUUAUUCCUGUCCCUGCACUGGCUGCCCCCUCCUCCUGCACCUGCCCUUUUUUUGGUGGCCACGUAAAACCAGUGUCGGGAGAAAGACCUUUCCUCUUCCAACUUGUGUCCAGCGGUUGGGGGCCUGCAAAUUAGCUGAGGAAAGACAGACUAAGAAGAGAAAAGGCAAAGUUUGUUUUCACACGUGCAAGCAGGGGCUCCCACUAGUGGAAAAGCUCACAGAACAGCUCAAAGUAAAGGUUAAUAUAUAUGGACUUAGCCAAAGGGGCGUUUUCAGGGCUUCAUGGGAGAGCGUGGGAGGUUUUCAGGCUUGGUGAUGCUCACCGGAAUGGGCAGUCUGUAUUCUUGGCAGCUGAAUUUGCGGGAAACUCCCUCAGAGUGGGGUCAGGGCAGCCGUAUUUGGGGAAGCUCUGCUUUAGUCAGAUAAGUGAGCUUCAGCUAAGAUUUCUUUCUGCAUCUUCUGUAGCUCAAGUGUUUUCACUUUAAAAUAAUCUUUAUACCAACUCUAGGGGUCCGAGAGGGUCACCACACCACUCACAAAGCUUUUGGGGGUAUGGCAGGUUUUACUGAUCAUUUCAGAGACCAGUGGAGUUUACCUCACAGAAAGGCAGAGAACCUAAACUUGAGCAUUAGAAUUUCCUGCCCCUAGAAACUCCCUUGGCCACUUUUGCCAAAUAGAGUGCAGCUCCCAUGGGCAGCUCUCCCUCGCCCUCUGUUUUGCCCAUACUCACAGCCCUAUUGGGGCUGGCCUGGUGGCACAGUGGUUAAGCUCGUGUGCUCCGCUUCAGUGGCCUGGGGUUCACAGGUUUGGAUCCCGGGUUUCAGACCACCUUGCCCCCCACCCUAUAAAUAUCCUGGGUCCCCAUUUCCAGGAGGCAGAUUUGAGACUCAUUCUCUCGCUUCCUCACGUGGCUGCCUGAUGUGAAGGUGUCAUGGGGGACUUCUGAGAUUACUUGAAAGAAGCUCACUUGACUCGCAGUCUCGUCCCGUCUCCCCCUCCCCUUCCUCCUGUUCACCGACUGGACAGACACGUGAUGCCCGACUCCACUGCCAUCUUGGAUCCUGAGGUGAUGGGAAGGGCGGCAGUCACGUGCACUGGAGCAGAAAGAUGGGAGCCGUCUGGAUCCUUGAUAACUUGGUGGGGCUCAGUACCUGCCCUGGACACCCACCUGGACUGCUUCAUGGGAGAAGAAAAACAAACGCAGAAAACAGAAUGCGCUGUGUCUAAGCCACUUUGAAUCUGUUGAGCCAGGGGGCUGGAAGGAGUUCUGAUACAUUCUCCUCCCCAUUAGGAAGCUGAGGAUCUUCUCCCACCCCAAAUCUGCUCUUCCUGUGUGUCCUGCCACAGUAGCAGGCACACUCCUUUCUCCUACUCCCUCCUUGGCUCACCCCUUGUCCAGGCCCAAAACCAGGGCGUCACCUUCAAUGCCCUCAUCCCUCCUUAUACCCAGCCAGCAAUCCAAUCCUGUCGUUCCUUCCUCCUCACUGACCGCAGGAUCCACACUUGACCUCUAGGCCCCCAUUCAGCCACCGUAAAUGAUCACCCUACAACCACCCAGAGACCUUGGGGUCCCCGGGGGCUCCGAAACCACAGAAUGCUGGCCGCUCUCGUGGGAGCUAGCCCUGGCUUGCCUGAGACGAAAGGGGAGGGGGCAGGUGAGGGCGCCUGGAGGCUGGUCGGAGGGAGGAAGAGCCCCUGAAGGGACGUUGAGGCCCCUAGGACGUGCCCUGUCUGCCCCCCACUACUUCUUCCAGGGCCAGCUGGGAUGGCGUGAUGGGCAAGGGAAAACCCAGGGCAAACCUUGACAUUAAUCUGCUGCAGCCAUCCCUUCCUGGGGACUGGCCUCAUUUCCUCCAAAAUCAUUUCUAGCCACUUCUUCUUGGGGAGAUUUAAUUAUCAACUCACAGGCUGAGUGUGUGGAGCGCAGGAAGGGGCAGUCAGAGCCCCAGGCACCCCUGGGUUUAGUCUUCCAUCCACUAAGCACCUGCCAUGUCCUGGCCCAGUGCUGGGAGCCUCCAACAUUCUUUGGGGAGAGUUUUUCAUGCCUGUUUUAUAGGUGAGACCCUGGGACUCAGAGUGGUGAAGUGACUUGCCCAGGGCAGCACAGCCCAAAAGGAAUGGGCCUGGCAUUGGCUCUGGGUCCAUCCUUCUCCAAAUUCCCAUUCUUUCCCUGUUCACGGAUUAUCCUCAGCCUGGAGGAGUAGCUCUAUCACCUGCAGAGCUACUAACAAUUCUGAUUCCAGGGCCCAACCCCAGAAAUCCUACUUCAGCUGCUGUGGGCUGGAGUGGGGGAGUUGGUUUUUCAAGGUGCCCCAGUCCCCAGGCAGUCGUGGUGCUCAGCAGGUCUAGGGCUGGCCCUGCACUGCACCUUGCUGCCUCUCAGUGAGGGGAGCUGCCGCUGAGCCUGCUGAAAAGAGCCGGGGCCAGGAGACAGCUGUGUCCCUUUGCUGUUCCUACCCCAUACUGGCUUCAGGGAUUGUGGCUUUGAAUUUUUUGUGCAUUUAACCAAAUCUAGUCAUUCUUCCCAUCCAAUCUGCACAGAGAUGUCAAGUUAAGCUGCUGUGCUCAGCCUCUGCCCUUGUCAGGCCCUGUUGGAACAUUUUCUCAGGCUCCUCCCCAUCCAGGGGGUGCCGGUGAAGCUCCUGGCCCCAGGGUGGUCUGGCCUGACCUCCUGCUCUGCCUUCUCUCCAGCUGGUCUCCUUCUCAAAGCCCUUGGACCUUGGCUUGUGCUUCCUCUUUCUUUCCCUCCCUGAUCUGGAACACCCCCUCGAUCCCCGCCUCACUCUCCAGAACCUACCCCAGCUUUAAAUAUCCCUUCCUCCAGGGAGCACUCCUUGACUGGCCUGGUCCACAGUCCUUCCUGGAACACUUGCUGUUGUUCAUGUCCCCUCCUCUGCUGUGGCCUGCAACCUCCACAUGUCUGUGUCCUAACAACACAAGCAGAGGUCACUUCUCAAGGUCAUUGGUACGCUCUUGAAUCUCUUCUUGACUCUGCACCCACACUCCCCGGCUGUGCCCCAGCCCUGGAUUGUCCUAACAAUGCCCUUUGACCUUCUUCCCCUGCCCUCAAAACUGACCUGCCCCGUGGCCCUUUACUCUGCUAUGAAACUGUGAGCCAGUCUGUAAUAAUUUAGUUGUGCUAUUUAAUUUUUCAUUUUAUUAGCAGAGGAGCUAUAUUUUAUGGAGCAUCCGCCCUUUGCUAGGUGUUUUGCCUCAGUUAGCAUAUUCAUCCCCCAAAAUUCUCCAAGGUAGGUGUCUUACCCGUUUUUACCAACAUGGAAACUAACAUUCAGGGAAUGAUACCCCCAAGGCCGCACAGCCAGUGAGUGAUGGAGCAGGGCGUGAGGUCUAGGCAGGACGUCUUCAUUCAUUUUCUUGGCACACGCUCCUCCUUUCUUGCUCUGCAGUCAACAGUCACUAGAUGGCCUGAGAGGCAGCCGGGAGCCUGGCUCUCCUGGAUGGAAGGUUGAGGGAGGGGGCGGGGAUGCUGAGCCUGCAGUGCCCACAUUCACCACUAGGAGGCAGGCGGGGGAAGGAAAUGGCACAUUAUCUUCCUGGGAAGGCCACAGCAGCUCAUUGAUUAUUUAGUUAUUCUGAACGUUGCAAGUUUCAAAAUGCGCAGUUGAAAUCUUCCUUACAUAUGUUGAAGCACCAUAGUCCAAGCAGAACUGUAAUCUUUUUUGUUAACUAACGUAAAGGCAUCAGCAUGGUUGAUAGAAAGAACAGAAUCUCACUCUAACUUCCUGGCUUGAGCAACGAAGAGAAUCACACCACCAAUGACCUCCUGUGUGCCAGGGGCUUUCCAUGCUUUAUCUCGUUUAAUCUCCUCAUCUUUGAGAGGUUCCCAGAGGUGAAGUAAACUUUCCCAAGUUUACACGGCAGAGCCAGGAUUUCGAUCUCAAUUGAUCUGACUUCAAAGUUUCUUGGCCUCUCCAAGCCUCAACAGCCUCAUCUGUUAAAUGGGCAUAAUCACAACAAUACCUAUCCCAGUGUUGAGUAAGACAAUGUACACGAAGUGCCGCAGAGGCACGGAUGUGGAGUGCGACAGUGGGCAAAGUAGAAGACGCUGGUUGCCUGAGGUCCGUCACAUGGCGAAUUCUAAAACAGGUCCCCAAGCACAGUCUCCCUUUUGCAGCACCAACAGCAUUAUAAAUUCUGAUGGCAGGUGUUUUCAUAUCUGAUUUACACAGAGAAACUGAGGCCCAGAAAGGGGAAGAGAUUUGGCUGAACUCUGAAUUUGUGGUAUUCCUUGAUUAUCGUUGAUUGGCAUACUCGACAUUUAUUGAAGGCCUACCACGAAUCAGGCCUGUGCUAGACAGUGAACUGCCUGAGAACAGAGACUGGAGCACAAGAGACUCAGCGAACGUUUGCUGAGUAAAGCAGUGCUGCCCACAGUGGGAGUGGCGCCUCAGGGUUUGUGCAAGACGAUCCUCUGGGAUGCAGGAGGACAAUUUUAGAACUUCCAUUUGCAUUUAAUUUUUAACUAAACAACAAGAACAUAAUUAAUCAUCCCCUGAUAUUUAAGAUCCAGAUUGAUAUAUUGGCUAGCCCUGCAUCGCUCCUGGUACGGGAGGCAUCCUGAGAGAAGGAUGAGUGUUCCCAGCUGUAGAUGGCUCCUGGGGCUUCCUCUCUUGUU
Molecule: long non-coding RNA, 4712 nt
Filed under: Equus asinus (donkey)
Lineage: Eukaryota; Metazoa; Chordata; Mammalia; Perissodactyla; Equidae
Description: lncRNA (ENSEASG00005034359.1)
Source: RNAcentral